Molecule: long non-coding RNA, 4074 nt
Organism: Chinchilla lanigera (long-tailed chinchilla)
Lineage: Eukaryota; Metazoa; Chordata; Mammalia; Rodentia; Chinchillidae
Source: Ensembl
AUGCCCAGCGCUAAAACAAGCCUGUGCUUGGGUAAAUACCCUUUCUCUCUGUUGUUCUGUGAAAAGCCCUUCCCCACACGCUCUAGGAGUGAGUUUCUUGAUCUGAACAAGUGUUGGGUUCUGUUCCUGCUCUCUUCUCUGUCUGCUGUGAUUCGUAGGUUUCUCUGUGAAGGCUUCUUGUGGACCAAACUUUUGCUCACCCGAUUAUUUAUUUAUGAAACCAUUGGCUCCCAGGUAGCUCUCAAAUCCAUCUCAGUCUCUCUACUGCUGCCACCCAUUGUCAGCGGCCUGACUCACUGGUUCUCAAACUCAGCUGCACAGGGCAGUUAUCUGGGAAUUUUAUAACUCUUAUGCCUGAGACACCCCAGUUACACCCGCUGGGGGAUUCUGCUCUUCUUAGUGUGGCACAGCCGGGGUAUCUGGAUUUUUAACAACUUCACUUUAGUCAAAGUUAGAAACAUGAACUGACCCAGCACAGUUGCUCCUGACCUCUCUUUGCCCCUCACUGGCCCCCUUUCUUUUCCAGAGAGUGCUAUUUUCAAAAUGAUAUUUUAUUUUAUUUAUUUAUUUAUUUAUUUUGGUUUUUCUCCGGUACUGGGAACUGAACUCACGACCUUGCGCUUGCCAGGCAGGCGCUUUUGCCGCUGAGCUAAAUCCCCAGCCCCUCAAAAUGACAUUUUAAUCACUGCCGCCACUCUCCUUAAAUCUUUUCAACAGCAUCCCAUUAGUCUCAGGCUAGAGCCAAAUGCCUAUGGCCUUAUUCUGGUCUUGCUAUCUCUCAGCCACGUCCUGUUCCAUGAGCCCUUUGGCAUAUGUGUGAGUGUUUGUGUGCGCCUAGGGUUGAGCCUAGGGCUCAAUGCAUGCUUAACACUCUACUGCUGAGCUACAACUUUGGUUUGCUUGCUUUUUUACUUCUUCAGACAUGUCAUUCUCCUUCCCACCACAGGCCUUUGCACAGAGCGUACUCAGUGAAACUGUUUCCCUAACUCCUUGUCUAGUUAACUUUUAGCUCCUCCUUCAGGUCUCAGCUCAUUUGCUCAGACAGACCUUCUCCAAUCUAUUAUCCUCUUGUAGAACCACAUAAACUCCACUUCCUAGCAUUUAGAGCAAGUGCAAUUUUAUGGUUACUUCUGUAAUGUUCUACUGAAUCUCAUUUGUAGAAACUUUGUGUCCGUGUUUGCUUCACAUGGUAUGGUCGAAAGCUAGCAUAUUGACUGACAUUUAAAUAGGCUCUCAAAUUGUUUACUGGAAGAAUAAAUAUAAAGGAAUGAAAAGGUGCCCCAAAUCAAAUAGCCGAGUCCAACUGAUGUCAUCUCCACAAUAUUUCUAGAAUCCAUUUAUUGCUUUUCAUCUUUUUUGCUGGUCCAAGUCCUCAUCAUCUUUGGUCUAAACUAUGAAACAGCUUCCUCAGUGAUUGACAUUCUUCUACCCUUGUCCCUCUUCAAACUGUCUUAGCUAGAGUGAUCUCAGGGCAUAAGCCUGGGUCCAACAGACCCAUCCUUUACUUUUCUACUGUAAAUUUGUACUUCAGUGUUGCAGUAGCUGGCUGUGUGUCUCAGUACUUUCCCCUGAGGGAUACAGGAAGCAGUCUAUAUGUUUACUCACUUGUUAUGACAAACAGCAAGGAGUGUGCACAUGUCCAAAAGUGAUAAAAUGGGAUUUGGACCCACUUAUGCUCCACCUAGCUGGUUUUGAAUAUAUUUACCUGAGCAUCACAGAGGGUCCAGUAGACCCACACUACUCCAGGAUUUGUUUAGAAAAAAAAGUUUUUUGUUUUUGUUUUUAAUUUUCCCAGUAGAAGUAGCCCAAUUCAGUACAAUGGCACAUGAAAAACCAGAUUUGCAAGUUUUGGAGGAGGUCAAAAGUGAAUCAGAUUAUGAUGAACCAUUAUGGUAAAAUACAAGUUUUCAUGACAGAAGAAUGGUGUGGGUGGAUGAUGAUGAUGAUGAUGGUGGUGAUGAUGAUGAUGAUGACUUUGACACUGGUCAUGUGAGCCAGGGUUCCUGGGACAGUGAAAUAGAGCAAGAAUAGACUGAUACUGACACAGGAUGCAGACCUCCUUGAUUCAAGUGAUGAAGAAAAUAGCAGUGUGAGUACAUAUUUGACUAGUGGAAAUGUUGUGAAAUGGCCACAUAGCCAAAUGGAAUGAUCCAAUGUUAGCACUAGGUCUGAAAAUAUAGUGAAAGUCUUGGAAGGGGUGAAAUAUAUCGGACAGAAUGCCAGCACUGCCAUUCAGUGUUGGAAAUUGUAACAAACAAAAUGCUGUAAGAUGCUGUGAAAUACACAGAGGCCAAAAUGCAGGUAAAAUGUUCCAUGCGCACCAAUAGCCAUAUUCAAAAAUAUAUUUGUUAUUACACCUCACUAGCUGAAUUGAAAGCAUUUAUAGGUCUGCGGUACUUCGCAUAGAUUUCUCAUGGUGAUUGCAAGAAUGUAAAAGACUUAUGGAAAGCAAGAGGUCAAAAUAUGGCAUAAAAAUUAUUUAUGCUCUUGUAGAUGCCGAGACUUAUCAUGCUUUUAAUUUAGACAGUCAUCCUGGAACUCAGCCGUAGGUCCUUAUUGAUACAGCAACAAACAGAAUGAUGCUGUGAACAGACUUGUUGCUUUCAUCUCCCAAACUAAUCAGAAUGUGACAUUCAAUGAUUGGUUUACUGGUUUCCAAUUGAUGUGACAUUUGCUAACAGAGCACAAGUUGAUUGGCACAGGAACUGUACCCAGGAACAAAGGCAGAAAUUUCAAAUGAAAUGGUACCAUUUUAAAACUGCGAAUUGUAGAGUACAAUCUUUGAAUUUCAGAAAAAUAUAACAUUGACUUUGCGUAUGGCAAAGAAAAGCCAACUGGUACUGUUGAUGUCAAUAUUUCACCAUGCUGAAAAUAUUGAUAGGGUAGUUUCAACAAAACAGACGCCUGAGAUGGAAGCUUCUACUAACAAAACCAAAGGUGAAGUAGAUGUUGUUGAUGACUUAUGCAGCAACUAUGAUGUCACCUGAAACACAAAGCGUUGGCCAGUGGUUGUGUUUUACUCAAUCCUAAAUAUAUGUGGCAUAAAUAGUUUGAUAGUUUACAAAGCAAACAAUAAGUGCAAAAAAUCAUGGAGGAAUUUUCUUAGAGGACUGGGACUGGAGCUCAUAAGAGAUCAUUUACAGCAGAGGAAAAACAAAAUGUUUCUGCCCAGGGAACUAUGCAAAAAAUUGUGGAGCACACUGGUGAGAGGACAGGUGAACAGGCAGGCACAGCACCACAAAGACCUAUGACAACAGGAAAACAUAAUAAAUGUCAACUGUGCCCUGCAGGAAAGGACAGGAAAACAAACAUAUGUGCUAUCAGUGUAAGUGAUACCUGUGUAUGGAACAUGCAGUUGUCAUGUGUGAAGACUACCAUGGGUGUGAUAGUUGAAGCCAAGCUUAUUUCUGUGGUAGGCUUUUGUUUGUGUUUACACUGUAGUUCACAUAGGUAUUUUGGUUUGUUUUUUAAGGCAGAGUCUCGCUAUGUAGUGUAGGGUGACCUCAAAGUCAUAGCAAUCUUCCUGCUUCAGCCUCCUGAGUGCUGGGAUUACAGGAGUGCACCACCAUGUUCGGCUAGGUUUUUAUUUUCAUUUAAUUUAAUUUAAUUUUUUUUCCGGUACCAGAAAUCAAACUCACGACUUCACGCUUGCCAGGCAGGCACUGUCCCGCUGAGCUAAAUCCCCAGCUAGGUUUUUAUUUUUGAUGUUAUCUUUUAGGUUUUGUAAGCCAGUAAAUAGUUGAUGUAAAAAUGUUGAUGUCUAGUCUCGCACUCAUUGCAUAUUUAAUAUUCUAUUAUUUGACAUGUAAUUUCCCUGCUGCAUGCAUAUUAUGUAAUAUAAGGAAGCUCCUGACAAAACAGGAGGAGAAGAGAGGUGAUAAGACUGCUACAUAGGAAAGGAAAGCUAGGCACAUGUGCUGUCAGUACAAGUGAAACAUGUGCAUGGAAUAUGCAGUGGUCAUGUGUGAAGACUGCCUUGCAUAUGACAGCUGAAGCAAAGCUUAGUUUUGUGAUAGAGUUCUAUUUGUAUUUUUAUUUUAGUUUAUAUAGAAAUUUAUUUUUGUGAUUAUCUUU